RNAcentral lists this transfer RNA (86 nucleotides) under Paenibacillus allorhizosphaerae. RNAcentral describes it as "Paenibacillus sp. JJ-447 tRNA-Leu". It matches the Rfam family "tRNA". Rfam says of the family: Transfer RNA (tRNA) molecules are approximately 80 nucleotides in length. Their secondary structure includes four short double-helical elements and three loops (D, anti-codon, and T loops). Further hydrogen bonds mediate the characteristic L-shaped molecular structure. tRNAs have two regions of fundamental functional importance: the anti-codon, which is responsible for specific mRNA codon recognition, and the 3' end, to which the tRNAs corresponding amino acid is attached (by aminoacyl-tRNA synthetases). tRNAs cope with the degeneracy of the genetic code in two manners: having more than one tRNA (with a specific anti-codon) for a particular amino acid; and 'wobble' base-pairing, i.e. permitting non-standard base-pairing at the 3rd anti-codon position. The record is from RNAcentral. Lineage: Bacteria; Bacillati; Bacillota; Bacilli; Caryophanales; Paenibacillaceae.
GCGCCUCUGACGGAAAUGGCAGACGUAGCGAGCUUAAAAUUCGUGGUCGAAAGACACUGAGGGUUCGAAUCCCUCGGGGCGCACCA